AUUGAACGCUGGCGGAAUGCUUUACACAUGCAAGUCGAACGGCAGCACGGACUUCGGUCUGGUGGCGAGUGGCGAACGGGUGAGUAACAUAUCGGAACGUAUCCAAUAAUGGGGGAUAACGAGUCGAAAGAUUCGCUAAUACCGCAUACGCCCUACGGGGGAAAGCUGGGGACCUUCGGGCCUGUCGUUAAUGGAGCGGCCGAUAUCUGAUUAGCUAGUUGGUGAGGUAAAGGCUCACCAAGGCGACGAUCAGUAGCUGGUCUGAGAGGACGACCAGCCACACUGGAACGGAGACACGGUCCAGACUCAUACGGGAGGCAGCAGUGGGGAAUUUUGGACAAUGGGCGCAAGCCUGAUCCAGCCAUUCCGCGUGAGUGAAGAAGGCCUUCGGGUUGUAAAGCUCUUUCGCAAGGGAAGAAAACUUAGCCACUAACAUUGGUUGAGGUUGACGGUACCUUGAUAAGAAGCACCGGCCAACUACGUGCCAGCCGCCGCGGUAA
RNAcentral lists this ribosomal RNA (500 nucleotides) under uncultured bacterium. Its description in RNAcentral is "partial 16S ribosomal RNA". It matches the Rfam family "Bacterial small subunit ribosomal RNA", at positions 30 to 523 of the family's 1533-position model. The record is from RNAcentral.